AACGAACGCUGGCGGCAUGUCUAACACAUGCAAGUCGAACGAGACCUUCGGGUCUAGUGGCGCACGGGUGCGUAACGCGUGGGAACCUGCCCUUAGGUUCGGAAUAACUCCCCGAAAGGGGUGCUAAUACCGGAUAAUGUCUUCGGACCAAAGAUUUAUCGCCUUUGGAUGGGCCCGCGUUGGAUUAGCUAGUUGGUAGGGUAAAAGCCUACCAAGGCGACGAUCCAUAGCUGGUCUGAGAGGAUGAUCAGCCACACUGGGACUGAGACACGGCCCAGACUCCUACGGGAGGCAGCAGUGGGGAAUAUUGGACAAUGGGCGAAAGCCUGAUCCAGCAAUGCCGCGUGAGUGAUGAAGGCCUUAGGGUUGUAAAGCUCUUUUACACGGGAUGAUAAUGACAGUACCGGGAGAAUAAGCUCCGGCUAACUCCGUG
RNAcentral lists this ribosomal RNA (433 nucleotides) under uncultured bacterium. RNAcentral describes it as "partial 16S ribosomal RNA". It matches the Rfam family "Bacterial small subunit ribosomal RNA", at positions 29 to 507 of the family's 1533-position model. The record is from RNAcentral.